This 333-nucleotide long non-coding RNA is filed under the name Homo sapiens (human). Its description in RNAcentral is "HSALNT0327815". The record is from RNAcentral. Lineage: Eukaryota; Metazoa; Chordata; Mammalia; Primates; Hominidae.
CUCUCUUUUCCUGCCGCCAUCCACCUAAGAUGUGACUUGCUCCUUGCCUUCCACCAUGAUUGUGAGGCCUCCCCAGCCAUGUGGAAAUCAUGUUCCAGAAGGCCAGGGCGGUCGGUUCUGCUGCACAAAUGAGGUCAGAGCAAUCAAGAGAGCCAAGGAAGUCCUACUUAUCUGGAUUAAAUAACUCAAUCUACAAACUACUCAACUUUAAUAUAAGGUGGAAAAUAGGAUUUCAAAAGAAAAGAAGAAGGAGAAGAACAAGGACAAGAAACUGAGUUUUGGCAGAAGGCAAGUGAGCAAUUAAAAAUAAAUCUUUCAUGAUUUGCUCCCACA